Molecule: long non-coding RNA, 1003 nt
Filed under: Gossypium barbadense (sea-island cotton)
Lineage: Eukaryota; Viridiplantae; Streptophyta; Magnoliopsida; Malvales; Malvaceae
Description: long non-coding RNA (GBAR_LNC022008)
Source: RNAcentral
ACCACUCUUUAAGUAGGUAUUUCGAAUAAAGAUUUGUAGUAAAAGUGAUAAAGAAAACUAUUAAAAUAUACCGGAAAUUAGAAAAAAAUUAGACUCGUAAUAAUGCAACAUUCUGUAAACCAGUAACAGUCAGAUAAAUUCAAUAAAAAUAGACGGUAGGGGCCAAAAACUUUUGCAAUGAAGUUAAAACCAAUAACUAUAGUGGGCCAAGUUUUGAUUCAGAAUAAGCCCAAGUGGCUCAGAACAGCAACAGAACAUUUCAUGAUCCCAAAACUUCUCAGUCAAUCGAUUUUAAUCAAAGAUUAAUGUUUAAAUUGAUCAAAAUUGAAUUAAUUCGGGUUUAUAAACAGAGUACGAGGAAAGUUAUGUUUCUAGAUAUUAACAAAAUCAGUUUUAUGGAAUCUUCUGCUUUUCAUCAAAACAGCCCAAAAUAUGCAGGUAAGAUAGUACCAAAAUUUUAUGAACAGAUGUCUGGCUGAGAAACUGAGAAAGAAAUAAAUGGGGUACUCUCUUUUUUAACUUACAUAGGGUGUAGUCCUUCGAUGACAAGGAUCUUAGGAGGCUUGAUGAGCUCAGGAGGAUCUAAGAGACCAGUAACAUGGUUGUAGAUAGGCUUGUCGACAGCAACACCGCUCUUGAUAGCCUUAACUUGCUCAUACAUGAGGUCAAAGUCGUUAGCUCUUGGGUCAAGUGCUGUCACCCCCUUCUCUUUCCUUCCAGUUCUGUCGAGUGAAUGGUAAUCAUCUAAGCAUAUCACAGUGGUCAUAUCGCUAAUGAGUGUGUUUGAAUCAGGAUUGCCUCCCUUCGGUGGCUCGGCUGCACCACCAAACACACUUGUUAGCCUCCUCAUGAAGGUACUCUUCCCACAUCCUGAGUCUGCGGCCAAACCAAUCACAACAGUUUGUGAAUCACCGGCCGAGCAUGUUAUCACGCAUGGGCCGCUGCUGCUGCCGCUGCCGCUGCCGCUGCCACCUCUCUUGCUGCUUCUCCUAUAGAAAACUAC